CUCACUGCAGUAGUGAUCCUGCUCAGGAUGAGAGGAGCUGCAGGUUCAGACAUGGGGUUUCUGUGCUUGGCUGAGGAGGCAGUGGUGUGGAGCUACCAUCUGUAGAAUUGUGACUGAACGCCUCGAAGUCAGAAUUCCCUCUAAAAGGUGGGGAG
This 155-nucleotide non-coding RNA is filed under the name Lepisosteus oculatus (spotted gar). RNAcentral's name for it is "Eukaryotic large subunit ribosomal RNA". It matches the Rfam family "Eukaryotic large subunit ribosomal RNA", at positions 3007 to 3161 of the family's 3401-position model. Lineage: Eukaryota; Metazoa; Chordata; Actinopteri; Semionotiformes; Lepisosteidae. The record is from Rfam by way of RNAcentral.